AGUCUGGUGACGUAGCGGUGUCGGUGGCUAGCGUUUCUCAGCGUGAGGCAGGACUUGUUCCUCAGUCUUACAGUGACUGACAAGUGGCGCCCAAACAGUGACCUGAGUACAUGGGCUGUUGAGAGGGAACCCGGAAAUAUUUCGCAUACAGACAUAUACAGGGUAAGUUGGAUUGUACCGGGGGAUAUUUUAGAUGUAGCCUUUCUUUCUGUUUUGUUCUCAUCAGGAGUAAAAAUGGGGCAAACUGGAUUUAAGGAACGACAACUUUUCGUUCAGCUACUGUACUCUAUGUUAUCUGCUCAGGGCAUUAAGGUUACGCAUAAACAGCUUGUUCAUUUUCUUCAUUUUGUGCAGGAAAUUUGUCCAUGGUUCCCAGAGGGAGGAACUGUUAAUAUUCAAACAUGGGAAAAAAUAGGUCAACAAUUGAAAACUUUCUAUUCCCUUCAUGGACCUUCUAAGGUUCCUGUAGGUACUUUUUCACUUUGGAAUUUGAUAAGAGAUUGUCUUGACCCAACUCAUGAGCUUCAGAAAUUAUUCAAAGCAGCGUCUUUACGCUGCUUCCCUUCUGCUCCUCAGUUACAAAAUUUGCCUGAGGAACCUGUUUCUCCUACUGCACCUCCCUUGUUGGCGACCAUGCCAUCUUCAGAGUCCCUGGAGGAGGUUGAUGAACUAUCCCCAGAGGAUGAGACUGAAUCGGAGGAAGAGGCUGCACGAUAUCACAAUCCUGAUUUUGAUGAUGGCGUUUUUGCAGCUCUUAAGAAUGUGCCUGCAGAGUCUGAAAACUUUCCUAUAUUAGAUAAAACUUCAUUUACUGCUUUAGCCCAAGCUUUAACUUGGGUAAAACAUUUACAUGAUGUUACUCAAGAUGCUUCCCUAGCCCCUAUUGCACAUUCUUCUGGCUUUUCCUUGCCAGCAAAAUCUCCUGAUGAGUCCCCUUCAGUAAAUCAGGGGUCUAUUUCUGUUUCUUCUACUUCCUCUCUGCCUGUGAGUCUUUCUUCUCCACUCCAAACUGCUUUAUUUCAAGCUUCUAAGCAGGGGGAAGAUAUAUCUUCUUUGGGGUUUAAAAUAAAGAAGGGGGAAUAUACCACAACCCCGCACAAUUUAUUGCGACAUUCUUUAUAUACUUUAAAUUUUUUGAACGUAGAUAAGCAAGGACAGACAGCUGUCGAAGGAUUGUGGCAUCCUCGUGCCUUGCCUUUUGCUGAAGUCCGUUGGCAGGAUCUUCUUACUAAUCAGUGGAAUGGUCCAGGAUCCUAUACUAAUAUGGGGAUGAGGGCAUGUUUGUAUGUUUCCUAGGGACACUAAGGAUCCUCGUUGGAUACCUGAGCGCCUCAUGAGAUUCUGUGGAUCCAGACCAGAUGGAUGGUGAAUUCCCUCCCCUGCAAUAUGGAUCCAGACCAGAUGGUGAACUCUCUCCCCCACCACAUGACGAGAAGGCGGCUCGAUGACACUUCCAAUCCUCCUGAGAAACCAGCUCUCCAAGCUCAUCAGUGUUGUCUCUCCUGGGCCACGUGGAUGGCCAACCCUCCAACAUGGGGCCAAUUGAAACGACUGACCCAGAAGGCAGAGGAGAUGUUGAUGCAGCAGCAAGUGACUAAGUCCCCACAAACGUUGUUUGUGGCUAUGUUGGCUAUUAUCUCUUGUCAGGUAGUUUUGGGUAAUACUGAUAAUUAUUGGGCAUAUGUCCCUGAUCCUCCAUUACUUCGCCCCGUAGAAUGAAAUGAUCCCUCAAUUCCUGUUUAUGUUAACGAUACUUCCCUUCUUGGCUAUCCAAGCAGUGAUUUUAUUACCCCUCUCACUGUAACUUGUUUUUCAUUUACUGCCUUUCCUUUUGUGUGCCCCUAUCUGUUUUUCCAUUCCUGCAUUUUGGUAUAACCAACACGAACAAUACCGGCAUGGAUGUCUUUCGGUAGGACCCAGGCCUUCUUAUACAUAUCAGUUGCAGUAUUGGAAUGAAACAUGAUCUCACAGGGAGUGGAUUUUGAAUAUCAUGAGGCUCUCCACUUCUUAUUUUAAGGCUACAGAGGAUCCUCCUAAGGACUUGCCUCCCUGCAUUCAACAAAUAUUGUCCCCCUUUUCUAACCCCUCAGAACCUUUAUGGUCAUAUCCUCUGUGGCAUUGAUGCCAAUAUUCUACACCAGUGUGGCAUCGAAUUCCUCAUACUACUGCAGCUGUUUUCCUCAACCUUUUGCUGAACUUCUUAUUAAUAAGAUUGAACCUCCAGGGGGAUAGGUGGAGGGUGUCCUCUCCACCAAUUUAGGAAAUGUACAAAAUAAUAUCUGGAAGUUGAUGGCUGCUGUGGGGCCUGUUGUCCUUUCACAUCAACAACAUCCUGUUAGGAACUUAACCGCUUUUGUUAUGGCUUGUGUUCCAUCACCCUAUGCUAUUCUUACUGGUUCUCUCUACGUUUUUCAAAAAGAAGGGUUUUAUGACAUACGUUGUGAUAAUUGUAAUUUGACAAAUUGUAUAAGCAUGGGGGAACCAAACCGGGGAUUUCUUCUUGUUCAUUAGCCUCCCUUUGCUAUGCUCCCUGUAAAUGUUACAGGUCCUUGGUAUUCUAAUUCAGGUUUGCAGGUCAUGCAUGAACUCUCCCUUCUUUUACAACGGCCCAAGCGAUUUUGGGGGUUACUUAUAGCUGGAAUUACAGUGCUCAUUGCAGUCAUUGCUUCUGUAGCUGCUUCUGAUACUGCGCUGACUCAAAGUAUUCAUACUGCCACAUUUGUGAAUAAUUUAGCUGCUAAUGUCUCUAAUGCUUUGGGAACUCAAGAAACUAUUGAUAGAAAAUGAGAAAGUCAUGUUAAUGUAUUGGAAGAAGUUGUUCUUAUUCUUGGAGACCAAUUAGCUGCUUUAAAAACUGCCUGUUCUAUGCAUUGUCAUGCAGAAUUUUCUGCAAUCUGUUAAGCCAUAUAACGAUUCGCAGUGGCCUUGGCCUCAGAUUAAGAAUCAUUUAUUGGGAAUUUGGUCUCAUUCCAAUCUAUCCCUUGAUAUUGCUCCCUUACAUGGGGAUAUCACAAAUAUCCAGCAUGCAGCUCCCCUAGAUGUAAAUCCAGUGGAAAUUGCUUGAGACAUAUUUACCCAGAUUACACGUACUUUUGCCCCAAGUUCUCUUAUUAACCUCCUUUAUUCUAUAAUUGUUAUUGGUAUUUUAAUAUUAUUGUGUAUUUGUUGUUUUCCAGUCCUCCUGUGAAUUGGCUUACGAGCAAUUGCAGAACUCCAAGUCGGGCUCUACUACCUCACAUUAAAAAAUAAGGAAGGGGGACAUGUCGGGAACCAGCUGCAAGCUGACACAGUUCUUGCAGCUUAAAGCAUGGCAAAGUCCUGCUUAAUCAUUGACAGGACAUGAAAGAGUUAUUAGAGAAGAUAUGAGUCUUGGCCCGUGAAGUUGCUUGCAGUUUUUCUAACUAUAGUUUGUCCUUGGCAUGCUUUGGUAGUCACAGUCUGUUCUCAUGCAUGUUUAUAUCCUGGUUCGCAGAAUGUUUUGUACUAUAACUUCAACACUAAGGAAAUGCUGUCUGAUGAUUCAGUUUGGUGAUUUUAACAAAAACAUGUUUUGUCUACUGCAAUACAUAAAAAGAGGUUUGAUGAGAAAUAAAGUGUGUGUGUUUAUACACCACC
Molecule: long non-coding RNA, 3615 nt
Filed under: Phocoena sinus (vaquita)
Lineage: Eukaryota; Metazoa; Chordata; Mammalia; Artiodactyla; Phocoenidae
Description: lncRNA (ENSPSNG00000020920.1)
Source: RNAcentral